RNAcentral lists this ribosomal RNA (420 nucleotides) under Triticum aestivum (bread wheat). RNAcentral describes it as "partial small subunit ribosomal RNA". Lineage: Eukaryota; Viridiplantae; Streptophyta; Magnoliopsida; Poales; Poaceae. The record is from RNAcentral.
AUGCGGGUCAGCCUUUACGCUGACGACGCGGUAAUAUUCGCAAAUCCAAUAAAGGAGGAGGUGGACUGCCUGCUAGAGCUGCUGCACUCCUUCGGAGAAGCCACCGAUCUCAAACUUAACCAGGCCAAGUCCUCGGUCAUCCCGAUGAGCUGCGACGCCCAGACGCUGGAGGAAGUGCUGCAUGGCUUCGGCGGCGACAUCGCUAGCUUCCCCACAUCCUACCUGGGGCUGCCUAUCUCCCCUAAGCGAUUGCGGAUCGUGCACUUCCAGUUCCUCAUUGAUAGGAUCAAAUCACGCCUCGCGUGAUGGAAGGAAAAGUUGAUGUCAUUGGCCGGCCGGCGCGUCCUGGUGCGCGCGGUGCUCUCCGCCCUGCCCACCUAUGCCCUUUUGUGUGCUAAAGGUACCAAAGAAGGUUUUUAA